AGAGUUUGAUCCUGGCUCAGGGUUAACGCUGGCGGCGUGCCUAACACAUGCAAGUCGAACGGUUCUAAGCGCGAGCUUAGGAUAGUGGCGAACGGGUGAGUAAAAGGUAGGAAUCUACCCCUUGGACGGAGAUAGCUACUGGAAACGGUAGGUAAACUUCGAUAAGCCCGAGAGGGGAAAGUGGUGAGACAGCCGAGGGAUGAGCCUACUCUCCAUCAGGUAGUUGGUGAGAUAAAAGCUUACCAAGCCGAUGACGGAUAACCGGUGUGAGAGCAUGAACGGUCACAAGGGCACUGAGAGACGGGCCCUACUCCUACGGGAGGCAGCAGUGGGGAAUCUUGGACAAUGGGCGAAAGCCUGAUCCAGCGACGCCGCGUGGAGGAAGAAGUCCUUCGGGAUGUAAACUUCUGAACUAGCCGAAUAAAAGGCCUGUGGACACACAGGAGAAGAAAGUAGGCUAGGAAAAGUCCCGGCUAACUACGUGCCAGCAGCCGCGGUAAGACGUAGGGGACAAGCGUUACCCGGAAUUACUGGGCGUAAAGGGGGCGUAGGCGGUAAAAGAAGUCAUCUGUGAAAACCUAUUGCUCAACGAUAGGCUAGCGGAUGAAACUGAAUUACUUGAGGGCACCAGAGGUAGACGGAAUUACCCGAGUAGGGGUGAUAUCCGCAGAUACGGGUAGGAACGCCGGUGGAGAAGUCGGUCUACUGGGGUGCACCAGACGCUGAGGCCCGAAAGCUAGGGGAGCAAACCGGAUUAGAUACCCGGGUAGUCCUAGCCGUAAACGAUGCUCACUAGGUGUAGGGAGUGAUAAACUCUCUGUGCUGAAGCGAACGCGCUAAGUGAGCCGCCUGGGGAGUACGUCCGCAAGGAUGAAACUCAAAUGAAUUGACGG
RNAcentral lists this ribosomal RNA (893 nucleotides) under uncultured bacterium. RNAcentral describes it as "bacterial SSU rRNA". It matches the Rfam family "Bacterial small subunit ribosomal RNA", at positions 8 to 916 of the family's 1533-position model. The record is from RNAcentral.